UGAUUUUGCAAUCCUAUAACUAGUACUUAUUACUUCAGAUCAUUCUAACAUGACUCAUAGAUUAAGUCCUUGCCACUCACUCAACUUUUGGCAAGCAUGAACAUCACCUCCCCAAAAUCUACAGAAAUGUUUAUACAUGCUAUGUUAACUGUGGGCUCUUCUGAGGAUUGACUGGAAAUUCAAUAAUAUAUGCGUUUUUUUUUAGCUUGGAUUCCUAUAAAUUAAAGCAAAAAUAGAAAUUGUAUUUAUAGAAUAAAUGAGAGUUUACUGUAAGAAAUAUGACAACAAAAAAAUAUUUUUGUCAUGUUUCUCAGUUUAACAAAAUACUGUUAACAAAUGUGCCAAUGUUUCUCUGGGCAGCUUAUAUUUUAUCUGAAAGUUGUCAUGUAACUAAGUAAUCAAAGAAAAUGUGUCUUUGCUUAGCUCAGACUUUAGAGUUGGAAGGGGCCUUAAAAAUUAAUUGCAUAAACUUUUUUAUUGACAAGAAUGCCCAGAGCUUGAACAGAGAAGUAAGUUAGCUAAGAAUGGUUUAAUCUUUUCUGAAUUCAUACAGAGGCCCCCAGGAGCUUCUUUCUCUCUGCCCUCCUUGCUAUGCUCCUCUGAAACUUCAAGGAGGCUAACUGAGAUUGGCCAGGCCAGGAAAAGUUACUGCCAGGAACGUUGGAGAUCUUCAGCGACCAGAAGAAAGAAAGAAAUUAUUGAGCACUGUUCGCAAUGGCCAAGAUUUGGAGGCAACCUAAGUGUCCAUCGACAGACAAAUGGUUAAAGAAAAUGAGGGAGGAGGAAAAAACCAUGGCUGCGGAGGUGAUUUAAUAUCCUGUUGACUCUGAAGAAAAAUACACUUCUUCAUUAUAAGAGUUUUAUUGCCAAUGACUAGAAGGAAAUGUAAAGGGGACAACACAAGAUGACUAACACAGGAAGUUAUAAAACUCACAGCUCUAACUGUCAUGGCCCUGGGCCCAUGGUGCCUGAAUCCCUCUGGGAGUAUUAAAUGGAAGGCCCCCUGGUACCUGAAUUUUGUUUUAGUUUUCUCUCUCCAUCUCUGUGAUUACACAUAAAAUCAGCCAAGCACCUGCUCCCCUCCAGCCUAGAUAACACAUACCUCCAUGCUAUAAAGGGACAAUUUGACCAAGAGACACCCACCUCACCUGACCACAGAGCUGGAAAAUCUACUAUGUCAGACUUCCAUGCAACCGCUGGUGGGAGAAAGUUUUCACGAGUCUCUCUGGGCCCUUAUCCCUCUCCCCUGUAUUCCCAUCCUUAUCCAAAUCCACAUUUCACCAAACUCCCUAACGCUAAGCAGCUGUUGAAGUUCAGAUCACAGUCUCUGAGGAGCUCCUGGUUUCCCAUGGAAUGUGAUUUGCCUCAUCAUCUUACAGCCUGCCUCCACUUUGCUUUCUUAUCAUUUCAGAGGCUUGGGAUGCCUGUGUGCACAAUAAAUCAAUGGCAU
Molecule: long non-coding RNA, 1450 nt
Filed under: Homo sapiens (human)
Lineage: Eukaryota; Metazoa; Chordata; Mammalia; Primates; Hominidae
Description: HSALNT0364339
Source: RNAcentral